AUACGGAGGGUGCAAGCGUUGCUCGGAAUUACUGGGCGUAAAGCGUACGCAGGCGGUCUGAUAAGUCGGGUGUGAAAGCCCCGGGCUCAACCCGGGAACGGCAUCCGAAACUGCCAGACUAGAGUUCGGGAGAGGGAAGUGGAAUUCCUGGUGUAGAGGUGAAAUUCGUUGAUAUCAGGAGGAACACCGGCGGCGAAAGCGGCUUCCUGGCCCGAUACUGACGCUCAUGUACGAAAGCGUGGGGAGCAAACAGGAUUAGAUACCCUGGUAGUCCACGCCGUAAACGAUGAGUGCUAGAUGUUGGAGGUAUUCACCCCUUCAGUGUCGAAGCUAACGCAUUAAGCACUCCGCCUGGGGAGUACGGCCGCAAGGUUAAA
RNAcentral lists this ribosomal RNA (377 nucleotides) under uncultured Pseudobdellovibrionaceae bacterium. RNAcentral describes it as "bacterial SSU rRNA". It matches the Rfam family "Bacterial small subunit ribosomal RNA", at positions 523 to 898 of the family's 1533-position model. Lineage: Bacteria; Pseudomonadati; Bdellovibrionota; Bdellovibrionia; Bdellovibrionales; Pseudobdellovibrionaceae. The record is from RNAcentral.